CCUACGGGCGGCAGCAGUGGGGAAUAUUGGACAAUGGGGGCAACCCUGAUCCAGCCAUGCCGCGUGUGUGAAGAAGGCCCUCGGGUUGUAAAGCACUUUCAGUGAGGAAGAACGCCUGGUGGUUAAUACCCAUCAGGAAAGACAUCACUCUCAGAAGAAGCACCGUCUAACUCCGUGCCAGCAGCCGCGGUAAUACGGAGGGUGCGAGCGUUAAUCGGAAUUACUGGGCGUAAAGCGCGCGUAGGUGGCUUGAUAAGCCGGUUGUGAAAGCCCCGGGCUCAACCUGGGAACGGCAUCCGGAACUGCCAAGCUAGAGUGCAGGAGAGGAAGGUAGAAUUCCCGGUGUAGCGGUGAAAUGCGUAGAGAUCGGGAGGAAUACCAGUGGCGAAGGCGGCCUUCUGGACUGAUACUGACACUGAGGUGCGAAAGCGUGGGUAGCAAACAGGAUUAGAUACCCGAGUAGUC
RNAcentral lists this ribosomal RNA (465 nucleotides) under Vreelandella stevensii. Its description in RNAcentral is "partial 16S ribosomal RNA". It matches the Rfam family "Bacterial small subunit ribosomal RNA", at positions 338 to 795 of the family's 1533-position model. The record is from RNAcentral. Lineage: Bacteria; Pseudomonadati; Pseudomonadota; Gammaproteobacteria; Oceanospirillales; Halomonadaceae.